UUCAAUGGACUUUUUACUCCAUUUCAGUCUCCAUCUGUUACUGCUUCCUCUCUGUGAGCAAGAAUCAGAGUCUUCACAGAGAAUAAAGCAUAAGAAUUAUGAAACAGCUAUCCUGGGAAGAAACGUUACCAUCUUCUGCAAUAUGACCAGUUUGGCUGAUGUUUUGCAAGUUACCUGGCAGAAAAUCCAAGACUCUUCACCUCACAAUAUUGGCACUUACAGUCACAAAUAUGGAGAAAGGAUUCUCCCACCAUACGUAAACAGGCUGCGGUGUAAGUUGCUGGAACCCAGUGCCUCCUUCAUGACUAUCCAAGGAGUGACAUUUGACGAUGAAGCCUGCUACAAGUGCCUGUUUAACACUUUUCCACACGUCAGCCACGGAGA
RNAcentral lists this long non-coding RNA (384 nucleotides) under Rattus norvegicus (Norway rat). RNAcentral's name for it is "long non-coding RNA NONRATT006588". The record is from RNAcentral. Lineage: Eukaryota; Metazoa; Chordata; Mammalia; Rodentia; Muridae.